GACGAACGCUGGCGGCGUGCUUAACACAUGCAAGUCGAGCGGUAAGGCCCUUUCGGGGGUACACGAGCGGCGAACGGGUGAGUAACACGUGGGUGACCUGCCCUCAGCUCUGGGGAUAAGCCCUGGGAAACCGGGUCUAAUACUGGAUAUGACUCCAUGACGCAUGUUGUGGGGUGGAAAGCCUUGUGCGGCUGAGGAUGGGCCCGCGGCCUAUCAGCUUGUUGGUGGGGGUGAUGGCCUACCAAGGCGACGACGGGUAGCCGGCCUGAGAGGGCACCGGCCACACUGGGACUGAGACACGGCCCAGACUCCUACGGGAGGGCAGCAGUGGGGAAUCUUGCGCAAUGGGCGAAAGCCUGACGCAGCGACGCCGCGUGAGGGAUGACGGCCU
RNAcentral lists this ribosomal RNA (391 nucleotides) under uncultured bacterium. RNAcentral describes it as "bacterial SSU rRNA". It matches the Rfam family "Bacterial small subunit ribosomal RNA", at positions 28 to 417 of the family's 1533-position model. The record is from RNAcentral.